This is a long non-coding RNA of Stomoxys calcitrans (stable fly), 272 nucleotides long. RefSeq lists it as uncharacterized. Lineage: Eukaryota; Metazoa; Arthropoda; Insecta; Diptera; Muscidae. The transcript is spliced from 2 exons. The record is from RefSeq and is a predicted model, not a curated record.
UGCUUAUUCGAAAAAAAAUCCUAGUCAUUUGGCAAAUAAAACAAUUCCUAUUUUUGCUUUUUUUUGUGGCUAGUAAAAAUGGUUUGUUUGGUUGUUUGUAUGUUUGUGUGUUCCUUAUAGACUCAGAAACGGCUGAAUCGAUUUUCUUGAAAUUUCCUAAGAUGGUGCAUAAUGACCCCGUGGUGAAAAUAGGACCCUCCCCCUUACCCGAUUUAAGCGAAAUUUUGUGUGCUCUCAUAUAGUUCCCUAAAAAUAAAAAUUUUGCAUCCAAA